UGGUACCAAAUCUUCGUAGUUCUUUUGCUAUGCAUCCUGGUUGAUAGAGACGACCAUAUCCAAUCUGCUUCAAACAGUCCACCUCCUCUUCUGCAUCAACCAUACUGGAAAGAUCCAUCUACAGUCCUGAAAAAUAUAUGUUGGAUUAUUGCGUCGCCAGAAGUUGUAAGCUGAAUCAGACGCAGUAGUGAUACACCCGACUUUUUAGAUCGAUUCAAGCAUGGAUGAAACAUUGAAGGAACGAACGUCACAAAUAUAAGACUCGGCGAGUCAGCGGAUUAGGAAGAAUGUCCGCUGGGGAUGCCCAAUGAUGUUGAGGCUGGGAAGGGCGGCGAACUAAUGAGACCUAUAGGAGUGACGACCUGAUCUGUUUUCCAUAUGUGGGGGAAGAAGAGAGACGCGAGAUACGAUGAGAUUUUUUUAGAAGAAGACGAAGAGAGAUACGAGAGAUAUGAC
Molecule: long non-coding RNA, 456 nt
Filed under: Hordeum vulgare
Lineage: Eukaryota; Viridiplantae; Streptophyta; Magnoliopsida; Poales; Poaceae
Description: long non-coding RNA (HVUL_LNC008230)
Source: RNAcentral